UUUGUGCAGUAUUAAUUAUUAAGAUUAAUUCUGUCUUAAAUUUCAAAUUAGUUGUUAGGUAAUAUUAAAUAUAAGUUUUUGUGGGAUUUAAUAAUUUACCUAAAAGGUAUUUAUUUAUUUUUGUAUUUUUAGUUUUUAUUAUUGAUUAUUGGUUAUAUAAUUAUAAAGUCAGUUAACUUAUUUAGAAUUGUUUAAGGUUGUGCCAGCAUACGCGGUUAUACAAUUUAAUUCGUAUUAAUUAUUUUGGUUAUUUAUUUAUUAAUGUCGUUUUAAGUUUAAUUUAUUUUUAUAGGGUGAAAUUUUUAAUUAUUUAA
Molecule: ribosomal RNA, 314 nt
Filed under: Leptoscelis matronalis
Lineage: Eukaryota; Metazoa; Arthropoda; Insecta; Hemiptera; Coreidae
Description: partial small subunit ribosomal RNA
Source: RNAcentral